This 791-nucleotide ribosomal RNA is filed under the name bacterium. RNAcentral's name for it is "bacterial SSU rRNA". It matches the Rfam family "Bacterial small subunit ribosomal RNA", at positions 68 to 869 of the family's 1533-position model. The record is from RNAcentral.
GAUGAUGCCCAGCUUGCUGGGUGGAUUAGUGGCGAACGGGUGAGUAACACGUGAGUAACCUGCCCCUGACUCUGGGAUAAGCGUUGGAAACGACGUCUAAUACUGGAUAUGAUUACCGGCCGCAUGGUCUGGUGGUGGAAAGAUUUUUUGGUUGGGGAUGGACUCGCGGCCUAUCAGCUUGUUGGUGAGGUAAUGGCUCACCAAGGCGACGACGGGUAGCCGGCCUGAGAGGGUGACCGGCCACACUGGGACUGAGACACGGCCCAGACUCCUACGGGAGGCAGCAGUGGGGAAUAUUGCACAAUGGGCGAAAGCCUGAUGCAGCAACGCCGCGUGAGGGAUGACGGCCUUCGGGUUGUAAACCUCUUUUAGUAGGGAAGAAGCGAAAGUGACGGUACCUGCAGAAAAAGCACCGGCUAACUACGUGCCAGCAGCCGCGGUAAUACGUAGGGUGCAAGCGUUGUCCGGAAUUAUUGGGCGUAAAGAGCUCGUAGGCGGUUUGUCGCGUCUGCUGUGAAAUCCCGAGGCUCAACCUCGGGCUUGCAGUGGGUACGGGCAGACUAGAGUGCGGUAGGGGAGAUUGGAAUUCCUGGUGUAGCGGUGGAAUGCGCAGAUAUCAGGAGGAACACCGAUGGCGAAGGCAGAUCUCUGGGCCGUAACUGACGCUGAGGAGCGAAAGCGUGGGGAGCGAACAGGAUUAGAUACCCUGGUAGUCCACGCCGUAAACGUUGGGCGCUAGAUGUAGGGACCUUUCCACGGUUUCUGUGUCGUAGCUAACGCAUUAAGCGCCC